Acanthochromis polyacanthus (spiny chromis) is the source of this 835-nucleotide long non-coding RNA. RefSeq lists it as uncharacterized. NCBI's taxonomy places the organism in Eukaryota, Metazoa, Chordata, Actinopteri, Pomacentridae. The record is from RefSeq and is a predicted model, not a curated record. The transcript has 4 exons.
UGGGUACAGGCGCGUGCUGGGUACAGGCGCGUGCUGGGUACAGGCGCGUGCUGGGUACAGGCGCGUGCUGGGUACAGGUGCGUGCUGGGUACAGGUGCGUGCUGGGUACUUGUGCGUGCUGGGUACAGGUGCCUGCUGGGUACUGGUGCGUGCUGGGUACAGGUGCGUGCUGGGUACAGGUGCCUGCUGGGUACUGGUGCGUGCUGGGUACUUGUGCGUGCUGGGUACAGGUGCGUGCUGGGUACAGGUGCGUGCUGGGUACAGGUGCGUGCUGGGUACAGGUGUCUGCUGGGUACUUGUGCAUGCUGGGUACAGGUGCGUGCUGGGUACAGGUGUCUGCUGGGUACAGGUGUCUGCUGGGUACAGGUGCCUGCUGGGUACUGGUGCAUGCUGGGUACAGGUGCCUGCUGGGUACUGGUGCCUGCUGGGUACUUGUGCGUGCUGGGUACUUGUGCGUGCUGGGUACAGGUGCGUGCUGGGUACAGGUGCCUGCUGGGUACAGGUGCGUGCUGGGUACAGGUGCGUGCUGGGUACAGGUGCGUGCUGGGUACUGGUGCGUGCUGGGUACUUGUGCGUGCUGGGUACAGGUGCGUGCUGGGUACAGGUGCGUGCUGGGUACUGGUGCGUGCUGGGUACAGGUGCGUGCUGGGUACUUGUGCGUGCUGGGUACUUGUGCGUGCUGGGUACUUAUGCGUGCUGGGUACCGGUGCGUGCUGGGUACAGGUGCGUGCUGGGUACUUGUGCGUGCUGGGUACAGGUGCGUGCUGGGUACAGGUGCGUGCUGGGUACAGGUGCGUGCUGGGUACUGGUGCGUGCUGGGUACUUGUGCGUGCUG